AUGGGCGAGGGUGCCCAGGAAGCCCUGGGUGUGAGGAAGGGAAGUGUGGACAUUAGGUUGCACACAGUUCGUCCAGACAACCUCGUAUCUCUGCACCUGGAGAGGACUGAGGGGCCUCACGGUCCAGACUGUGACAAGCCCGCCUCAGUGGGGUGGGAGCUGCGCAGGGCUGGGAGGGUCAUACCAUACAGCCUGCCGUCUCCGAGCCCUGCAGCUGCCCGCCAGCGCCACGGGGCCAAGGUACAACCAGAUCUGGACCUUCGCUGUGCCUCCUCCAGGAACCCCGUGAGUUUGUCCCCUGUGAAGCGUGAGCACAUGAGACUCCUGUGGCUCUGGGGACAGGCUAGCGCCCCAAACCAGCUGCACCUGCUCCAAGCUCACCUCACUAGGGGCCAUCACUGUCGCCGCAGCUGGGGGUCAGGCCCUGGCCCUGGGCCAGACUCUUGCUCGCUAAUCCCUGCUGGAACAGGAGAAUCCUCGGCGGCCCUGGGUCUCCGCUUCCCCAGGGGUAAAGUGAAAGCCAGAUCACACGCCCCUAUUCUGAGACCCACAGGCUGUGUGUUCCCCACGGAGUGGAGGAGCCCAGGGACACAGCCUGGCCACUCCGGGACAGUGCCUGGCUGCCUGGCCCCCAGCAGGACUCGGAGGCAGGAGCCAGGCACAGACAGGUCUCAAGGGCCUGAGGAGGGGCAGUGGCCCUGGUGGCGCCAGGGAACAGCCAGCACUGCAGGUGAGGGAUGCCUGUCCCAGUCCGCAGCUCCUGCUCUGCAAUCCAGGACCCACAGGGACGGUGCCCAGCGCCCUCAGGCCCAGGGCUUCGGGCACAGCAUGUGCGUCGGGGGUGGCUGCACUGUGAGGGACAGACACUCACAGGGACAGAUGCACAGAAGUGUGUGGAGCUCCCAUCCCCAGCUGAGCACCGGUCGGAGCCUCUGCAGACGCUGUCCUGGAAACACGAAUGUACUCCGGCAGCAAGGAGAAGCUGGGACACCAGUCGCUGGCACAGUCUCAAGGUCCUGAAGUUUCUUCCCCUCUGGGAGUGGAAGUGCAAUGCCCCAUGAUCACCAACAGGGGCAGUGGUGGACACCACGCAGCCCCUGAAAGCCACGCGAUUCUCACAACUUGGACCAGAAGUUGAACCAGGUUGACAGUGCCUGCAGAGCCUGCAGGGCCCUACACAAUUAUCCUCGUCCUCAGGCUACCUGGUGAGGAGCCAGGCUGAGGCACUCGGAGAGGUGACCGGAGUGAGAGGAGUCGGACAACACCCUGGUCCCUCCUGGGCAGAGUACUGCAGGCCAUGUGUGUCUCCGGGCCCAGUGCUGCGCAGGGGCCGGGGUACCCAGUGACAGGACAGGUAUGUGGACAGGGACCUCGGAGGCCAGACACCUAGGUCCCCUUGUGAGGGGGGCAGAGUGUGGGUCUCCACACAGGGCCCACCUGCUGGGUGACCUUCGCCCACUGCCCUGAGGCACAUGGGGGUGCUAUCAGACGCGCAGCGCACUGCAGCCCUGCAGGCGGCACCGCCCCUCCCGCCUGUGACCAGCUCCACGUCAGGCUCACACCAACCUGGAGGUGCGGCCACGUCCCCGAC
Molecule: long non-coding RNA, 1591 nt
Filed under: Fukomys damarensis (Damara mole-rat)
Lineage: Eukaryota; Metazoa; Chordata; Mammalia; Rodentia; Bathyergidae
Description: lncRNA (ENSFDAG00000026303.1)
Source: RNAcentral